RNAcentral lists this long non-coding RNA (20352 nucleotides) under Ananas comosus (pineapple). Its description in RNAcentral is "long non-coding RNA (ACOM_LNC021685)". The record is from RNAcentral. Lineage: Eukaryota; Viridiplantae; Streptophyta; Magnoliopsida; Poales; Bromeliaceae.
UAAAAAAAAAAAAAAAAGUCAAAUCAAAUGCAAAAUUUCUUUGACUCCUCUGCAUCCUAGAAUAUUCAGCUAUUCCAAGAAUAAAAUGCUUAUCGCUUCAGACAUUAUUCACCCCAUAAGAGUCGAGGAAAAAGAAAAGAGCUUUAGAAAGAUGCAUGCACGCAUGCAUGAUUGACUUUCUCCACUAAGCCAACCUAAUAGCCUUUGGCUCUUCACUUUAAAAAAAGACCAACUUAUUAGGCUUAUUUUCUUCAUGCUUUAUUUUAUCAUAUUCUGAGCACGGUGCAGAACACCUUUAAACAAAGACGAAAGUGAUAGCAGAUAUAGAGAAAGAUUUAAAGCAGAAUGAUCUCAGAUAUCAACAACAUUUCAUUGUGACCCAUGCUGGAUCCCUAAUAAAAUAACAAAUAAAUAAAUAGAAAGGUAUGGACAAAAGACAAGCAAAUCUCUUAUUUCUACCACGAUCAGAUAUUAAGGGAUUAGGAAUAAAAGAAAAAGGAAAUCACGGACUUCUACUUUGUUGGGUACUUCAUGCACCAUAGAAAACAGAUCUAUAAUAAAAGAAUGUUCACAUUGGUACCUUGAAUAGGAAAAGUAACAACAAGUGCAUCUCCCUGUUGGUUUUGUAUGCAAAAACAAUAUCACUCGUGUAGAAAAAAUAUCUCCUAUCACUGCACUGUAGAAAACAGAAGGAACAAAUUGAUUGAUGGAAACAUAUUGUAUGCUGUGACAUAGUGGUGUAUGUAUAUAUUAAAAAUACAAUUUGCUUUCCAAGCUAUUCACUGGUGCACCGGAAAAUGGAAGGAACUUGGACAGGAAUGCAAUCCUUAAUUUGGAAAUCUAAUGAAGAAAAGGUAGUUACUCUACAAUUCGAGAUUAAUGCUCACUAGUUUUCUCUUGAGGAUAAGCAUGCAUGUUAAUCCGCAACCUGUUCUCAUCCUAUAUAUAAUGCUAAUGAUGACAAAUAGUUGAUCAAGCGUCGGUGAGACUUGGUAAACCUGUUUAUACUAUCUGUGUGGUAUUCAUGACGAAUAUUCCCGACUUGAAAAAUGCUAGCUGCACACCCCAUAGAGGGUCGUACAUCUUACACCCUUAGAUCCUAGAGUAUAGGAAAGGAAACCCCUUUUGAGUAUUGUUUAUUUACAAAUAAAUGAUAAGACCAGCGGAUGAAUCUUAAUCAUAGAAUACCUAGGAUGCCAGAUUUAAGCCUACUAUCUGGGCGUACAGGUAGCAUUGCUCAUAGGGAACUGGCCAAAGCCGUGAUGUCUCAUCAUGCAUUUCUUGUUCAUAUGAAUCAGCACAUGGAAAGCUAUAAGAUCAAAAGAAGCAUGAGACAUGAAAAUCUUGCAGCUGCAGGAUGUUGAGAAUACCUAAUGUUGUACACAACCUUAUCCCCACACAUGGACAUGUUGUUUCUAUAAUUUAAACCAAUGGCGCCCAAAGCACAGUAGAGCAACAUUGUCAUUUGCUCUGACCUAGUAGAAACCAUUAAAAAUACUAUAAUAAACAAAACUAUGUACAACAGGAAUAGACAACAGGAAUAUUCCAUGAUUGUGCGCUCCCUAUCGAAUAGUUUACUCGUCAGUGCUCUGAAAGCUCCUUUCCUCCGCAGCAAAAACUAUGCAACGAGCAUCAGAUUUACCUAACAGCUGAAACUUUUUCUAAACUUCCAGUAAGCAUAAUAAUAUAGAGUGCUUCAAAUCAAAGUAUUCAGACUGAACUCCCAGCAUCAGAUUGAACUAACAAUGAAAGUGUUUCUAACGAUAUAAAAUAUACUUACAAUCAAAGUGUUUCAACUAACAGUCAGAUUGAACCUGCUGGAGUCAACCAACCUGAAUAACACACAGGAAACUUGAGUCUAAAGAAACAAGCACAUUAAAACAAACCAGCCCAACAUAAUUAAGAAGACGCACCCGAAUUGGGCAUUACUCGUGCCUAUGGAAACAUACCGUAGUAAUCGAAGGACACAAAAAAAAAAAAAAAAAAAAAAAAAAAAAAAAAAAAAAAAAAAAAAAGAAGAAGCAAACUUUACCCUUUAAUCACUCCAGUAGAAUAGAGUAUGGUAAACAAGUUAAAAGAGUUUUUGGUGUAAGAGAAAUAUUAUAGAUUUCUCCUCUUCGAUUGUUCACUUUAAUCUAUGACUCUUCAUUCUGCAUCAAGAGAGAUUAAGAAAACAUAAUAGUCAAAUGUUUUGCAUGCCUCCAUCGUACUAAGCUUACAAAAGGGUAGAACAAAAUAUUUCUAGGCUUUUAAGUCCUCAGUUCCUGCUUCAAAAUUUAUGUUGUCGGCCCCUGUAGAGGGGAAAGAACCACAGAAGAAGCAGGAAUGAGAUUACAGUAUGUUUCAAGAACAUGUAAAGAUGUAUUUAGUGCAGCCCCAAACAGCUUCGUAGUCAAAAAAUCAAGAACAAAGUAAAAUAGAACAAAUUUAAAACAACAAACAAGCACAACUAAGCAAGUUAAUGCCAGAUCACACACCAAAGAAGUCUAAUGUCAUGCUAAUGGAAAACGAACCAAUAGAGUCAAAAAUAAUUUUUCCAAAUAAACUGAAUGUCCUCAGUCCCCUUCUGAAACUUUAGCAGAAAGAGUGCCAAAUGAAGUGCUGCUCCUAAAUAAGUGAUGAAGGUAAAAGUUCGAAACAAAAAAUUACCAGUAAAAUCAGCCGCUCCUACAUUAAACUUGGCAAAAUUGCCUAUCUAUGCAUGUGAGUAGUAAGCAGCUUUUCUGCAAUGCUUUCAACAUCCCAUUAUUGCACAAUUGUGGACGAAACCACCAACUCUGUCGUUGACAGACAGAACUUCCCACUCUGCUCCUCCAGCACUUCCAUCAUCCGGACACCAAGAGUGCAGCACGAGGACUUCUCUGCCAUCACGCACCCUACGAGCACCGAUGACCAAUAACCUGUCACCACAUGGCUUAAAAGCCAGACCCCAACCAUAAGAAGAAUCGGCCCUAACAGGCAACAGCUUCACGACAUUCCAAGUGUUAUUUUCUUUGUCGUACUUCUUAACUGUGUUCAUGGACUGAUCAGCUGCGAAAAGCUGAUUAUUCACAACAGCAACCAGAGGAGGAGACUGAAUGGCAUUAUUACCUCCAGGGUACAUAUUCUCAAUUCUCCUCCAUGUCCUAGUUUGAAUAUUAUACUCCUCUCCACAGGUUAAAGAAUCAGUGUUGUUCAACAUCCCCCCUAUGACAUAAAACUUCCCAUCCAUAAAGAAUCCGGAACAUGAUUUCCUUGGCAAAUUCAUAUCCGGUAAAGGUUCCCAAGUGUGGUAAUCAGAAUUGUACAGUUCAGCACAUUUUAAGACACGACCAGUCUCAUCAGUUCCACCAGCAACAAUGGCAAUUUCGCCAGAGCUGCCAGACCCAAACAUGCAACGGGGUAAAUUCAUCAGGGGACCCCUGGACCAAUUGCGAGUCACCGAACUAUACAUCCAAACUGCAGAUUGAGUAGCAGAUCCAGUAGCAGAUCCAGCAUAUUCCUGACCAAAAACGAGAAGCUGAGUUCCUACAGCAAGAGACUCUUUAUCCGCAUUAGAAAAGCACACAUCACAUGGCAUCCUUGGUAGCCUCAUCCAUCUCCUUAUGGAAGGAACAAACGCUUCCCAAGGCAUUGACGUACAAGCUAAGUAUACCCAAUACUCGAUGAUACGAAGUUCCCUCCUUUUCUUGUAUAAAUCUUCACAGCCAAUCAAUGAGUUGAACCUCUUAUUCAGACAAGAAAGAGAAGGAUAGUCAGCUCUACUUGCCCAAGCUAUACACUCUAGGGCAACAUCGUCGUGAAGGCUAGAAAGGGAACAGUCAUUUGAUCUCUGAUCACUGCGAUUGCUUCUAUACUUGGCCUUAGAAAUAGGCUUCUUCUUCUUUAGUUCUCUAUGGUCCAAACUAGGCAUGUCUAUCUCAUACUCAGUUGGAACAAGUCCAUUUUCUUUCAGGAGGUAGUUUUUUCUAGCCAAUAGUAGGCAAGCCCAUGCAAAAUUCUGUAAUGAACUUUGAUCCUGAGUAGACUUAAGAAGUUGCGGAAGUACAGAACCCGAAGCACCAAUGAUGCUUCUGGACUUGCAAUCUUGAACUUCCUCCAUGUUCUUUGACUUGUUGAACGAUGAGCUUAUACACAUAAAAUAUGAGGCACUAGUUCAUGACCUGCUGAAAAGGAAAUAAAGAAAGCACAAUCAAGCGCAAUCAACCUUUGCAUCAUGUAGGAUUAAAUGGAUAAUAGCCCAACUAACUGGAAGAUGAAAAAUAUGUGGAGAGAAAAUAAAAAGUAGACUAUUCAAAUAACUUCUGCCAUCAGUCUAAUAAAAGGUUCCAUGAAAAUAAUAAGAGAAUGAGGGAAAAUAGGGACACAUAUGUCCAUAGAAAUUGUAGUACAUAAUCCUGAUAAAGUUGCCAGUGAAAAGCAUCGCAAGUUGCAAACUUCCUUUACAAUUAGUCCACGCAGUAUCUGAACAAUCCAAGUCGAAACCUUUCUUCCUAUAGCCAUCCGAAUCUUCAAAUGUUAUUUCAGUAUCAUUCUUCAGAACUAAAUGCCUAUUUAGAAUAGCUUCAGGGACAGCUUAUUUACUCUAAGAAGCAACAAGGGGGUGAUUAAUCAAACAGAAAGUCUGAAGUCUUUUCUUUGGUGGGAAAGCUGAAAUCAUUUUAGGAAACCUCAGAAGAAAAAAGACUACAAAUGGAAGUUUAUGCUUCUGCCACAGCAGGAACAAAAUGUAAAAGAUCUAGUGAAAAUGCUAUUAAGGCUCUUCGAGCAGGUCAAGUCAAGAAACACAUCACAAAAUGCUUCAACAGGGCAAAACAGCCCAUAAAAACUACAAUGUCACCUUCUCACUUGUCUUUCUUACAUGAACUUACUUACGAAAUUCAUCAACCACAAUGACAAAGAUGCAUGUGGUGAAGUGAACCUGUCACCCAAGGUUAUAAUCCUUGAACUAUAGCAGCUAAACCAUAGGGCAACACCACUUAAUGCGUUACAAAUAAAUAUUAGAAACGGUUAGAAUAACAGGAAAAACCGAUCCCAUCUAUCUGUUGGUUCCACCAAAUCUAUACAUACCUCUUUUUAAUUGUUAUAAACAAAAUAACUCUACUAACUCUUUCCAUACACGUCAUUUGUUACAACAUUUGCCGUUGUUGUGGGCACUUAACACAGGAAUUUAUCAAUUAUUUUGUGCCUGAACUUCAGGAUGUUUUCUGCAGUCAGUCCUUUCCUAAAUCACAAGAAGUUUCUGGAACAAAAGUAAAGUAAAAAAUGCCAGGAGACCCCCCCUCAACUAUAGGUCAUUCUGAAAUAGACCCCCAACAAUAUCUUUUCUUGGCUAAACAUCCCCUUGACUUCUAGUUUUUUUUUUUUUUUAUUUGAGUUAUUUCAGUCAGGUGAAUUAGGGAUAUCAUCAAAAGCAAUGACUUCAUUAACUAUCAGGCAUUGGAAUCAACAUUUCUAUUAGCUAAGAAAACUGGUAAGGUCAUUAGAUCUAACGAAAUCAUAAAUUAGUUUGACACGAAUCACUUAAAUCAAUACAAUUGGCAUUUGAGGGGGAUCUCAAUAAAAAAACUCAACUCUGUGGGGGACAUAUUCAGAACGGCCUACAGUCGAGGGUGAUCACCGUACAUUGCUACCUAAAAGUUACUUAGAUAACAUAAGUAAAAAAAAGAUCAUAAAAGAUCGACAAUUCUCAGAAAAUCUGUGCUUGUUCUAAUUAUAAUUAUAGCAGCAUCGAACAACACUAAGUUUUUCUACAUCCUCACCUCAAAUCAUACACCUAACAUUAGAAGCAAAAAAUUCUCACGUCGUCAAAGCUAUUCUAAAGCAUCUGCGCAAACUAAUUCACUUUGUCCUCACCUCCAAAGAUUAUUUGCAACAAAAAUCUCAGCAUCUUUUGGAACAAAAACCAGCGGAUCGAGUAACCGAACCCAAAUCUCAGCUGAGAUCGCGAGAUCGCAGGAAGAGGAGAUCGUACUGCGCCACGAACUCCGCCGACUCCGCGUGAUCACCCCACUUUCCCUGCAAAACCCUAGCUGAUCAGUGAAAAGGGCCUGGUUUGAUCUGUGGCGGAGCAUCGAUCUCACAUUCUCACCUCUAUGCGCGGUCAUCGGCGCGACCUCGACCGUCCGAUCGGCGAUCGCCGGGGCACGGCCGAGCUCCGCCUCAGCUGGUGUGAACCACCAUUAGAGGGAGGCGGAGCCACUAGAGGAGAGAGUAAGGGGAGAGAGAGAGAGGGCACCGAGGGAAAAAGGGGAGGAGAAAUACAAUACAUAACAAUAUAAAUACGGAAAGAGGUGGUAAAAUGUAUUGACAGUCCCCGUACCAUCACGAAACUACACCUCGGUCCACGUAAUUUUCACGUAGUGACGUAGUAACCACUUCAGUCCCUCAAUUUCAUAUUUAUUACACUUUAGUCACUGUACAUUUACCAACUCUAAUUGUUAUUAUCAUUUAGUAUUAAAAGGAAAAGUUUAAUUAAUUAUAUUUAAAAAUCAUAAAAUUAAUUAUAAUAUAUAUAUAUAUAUAUAUACAUACCAAAUUAUGAUGUAGGAAUAUUACAGGGCCCUUUGCAGUUGCAAAGCGAAAAAAAAAAAAAAAGAACAAUCAAUUCUCCGUUUUCGGGGCCGGGUAGAAUGGUAAAAUGGGAAUAGAAGAAUCUAGGAGGUUCACACGCAUCAGAUUCGGCGGGAUCAACGGACGGACGAGACGUAGUGAGGGAAUGGGGUGGACGGCGUGAUGUUGUGGUCCCGUAGAAGCAGUCAUUAAUAUUAUUAUGCGUGCGCCGCUGCAGCGGAGCGGGGAUGACGGGAGGAGGCGCCGCUGCGCACGUGCGCGACGAGGUGUUGUAGAUUGGGCCGGCUGUCGACGAAUACUGCGGGAAUGCCACUGGAGUCGCGACGUUGACUGCGUGUGAUGGUAAGGUGUCGACGAAGAAAUCACCCGCCCUGUCAGGGUACCGCUGCUGCAGUGACUGAUGAUUUGACGGGAUCCUGCAAAUCAACUACUGCUGGAAAAGGAGCUUCGCUUAUUAGUCCUCUCAAAAGGUCGGUUCUGUGUGUUGAUGAUAUGUUCAUUCACACUACUGGUGCCUCAAACAAUAAAAAUUAAAUUAAAAAAAAUUUAUUUCGACCGAAUUUGGAUCAAUCCUGACAAAAGAUACAAAUGAGACCGCACUUUUUUUUUUUUUUAAGAUAAAAUUAGCACGCUAUCUAUUUUAUUCAUUAUGUAAAUAAAUUUAGCUACAAUAAUUGAGACAUCGGAGCCUCAGAAAAAUUUAGGGCGAAAAAAAGAGAUAUAAAAAAGUGUGAUUACAAUCGAAAAUCAAAAUCCGUUACUUAGUUCAGUAAAAUUUAGCGCAUUUCUUUUCUAUAUCAUCUAACGGUCGCUAAGGGGUCAAAAGAUUGCUUUCUAAAAAUCACAUUAUUUCUUUCCCGCGAAAUCUUCCACCAACAUGUAGCAGUUAAAGCCAGAUUAUUUGCUGCUGUUUUUCUUUUUGUGUUGUUUCCCAACAUAAACUUCCAUAUAUCCUUGACCUCUGUUACAGAAUCCGAAAUAUGUCUACCUUCUAAAAUAUUGAACAUCCAAAAUCUACUAAAUACGCACCCCACCAGUAAAUAAUCGACAGUCUCAACUUCGCAACCACACAUAACAUAUUGUUGACUUCCGAACCAACCUCCUUUGUGCAAGUUAUCAACCGUGAGUAAGCAUUUUCUAAAGGCUAACUAAAUAAAGAUUUUAACUUUAUACGGUAUUAAGAAGUUAAAGUUUCUUUUUAGGAAUUAAAAAGUUAGAAUUAGCUUCAAGACUCCAAAAUAGAAGCCUAAAGUUAAAGUUUCCGAUCUCGUUACUGUUGAAAAUACUACUACCACCACAACAACGACAUCAGCAAAAAGGGAGAAAACCAAUCACUGGGAUGAGAAUAUCACUGUAUUAAAAAAAAAAGAAAAAGAAAAAACUCCUAAAUUGUUCAAAAUUUCCCCGUCGAGUGAUUCAAUAGAUUGACAUGUUAAAAAGUAAAAGGAGAAUAUCUACAAUUUACAAUCUGAUACAUUCUUGUUCAUAUCGAUCUCAUAAAUGAGGCCGUCAUGGACGCUCAGGGAAAAGCUAAAAGACAAAAACAAAAACAAAAAAACAGCUCCAAAUGAAUGAGGAGAAGGCAUUAACCUCUCUGGUACCUACAUCAAGCUACACUGUUGAGGAUUUACUUCUUUGGUUUUUUGGGCGGUGGCGGUCCCAUGGUACCUGCUUCAGCAUUGCGUUUAAUUCCCAGAAAAUGUUCAACCUGUUAGAGGUAUAGCAAUAUGUAAGCAGAUUUUCCCUACCAAAAUAUACGGUACCUUCGUGUGUUACCACGGAAGGCACUCAUAGUUAAACAUACGUAAACAUAUUAUAAAAUUAGGCAGUAAAAACAGAAUUUUUAGGUUCAGCUGUCCAUUUCAACGGUUCUAUGAAAUCCAUUGUGCAACAAUGUCAAGCUGUGGAAGAGAAACUACCUUUUUAUCCCCCAGCAUUGGUGUCAGGCUCCCCAGAUGGUCUUUCUCUACUGUAGCAAAGCCGCUUCUAGGGUCGCUAGUUUGCCUAAAUCACAGAAGAACAUAAGUAGAAUAUAGAAGAAAAUGUUCUCUGCAAACACAUCAGUAAGGAAAAGCACUACAGUAAUGUGACGCUAUAAAUGGGAAAGAAAAUAAUUUCAGAAGCUUUAUAUUGCUGCAUAUUGGCGGCACUUGUCAACAAAUUCUAUGCAGGCUGAAAAUAGAGACAACUGUAGCCUCUAUAAAAACAGCAAUUACCAGCAGAGUUCAUAAAACUUACCCUGGUUUUACAUGCCCGCUCAAAACAAGGUAAGGAGUCUUCAACUUAGCCUGAGCUUCUCUCAUUUUCUCCAUGGCCAACAAUGGCGUGUCAGAAGCUUUCAUCUGUUUGGUCUUUAGAUCCUCCUGAAACUUCUUCAUGCGCUUUUCUUGCUUCAUUUUCCCUGGUCCCUUGCCAUGGAAUUUGUGUGAAAGCAUCCGAAAGGCCUCCUUUGGCGUCAUCUGAGUAAAGCAGUAAGAAGGCAUCAGGAUACAACUCACUAUUAGCUCUCAUUUUGAUCAUAAAACAAUUGUAUAUGUACAUAACAUGCUACAAAGCAAAAGACAACUCACAAUUCGUCCAAAUUCAUCAGUCCUCUCAAUGCGCAUUUCCUUAGGCCCCUCAUUAUCAUUGAUGCCGACAAGCUUACUUUUCUUCUUGUCCAUAGUUCUGCCACCCCAAUCAAUCCCCUCAUUAAGUGUUCCUCGAUCUUUAAGCAACUUUAGAGCUCCAGCUAGUCCUUUUCCGACAGCCAACUCAUGAAUAAUUUCAUCAGGGGCAACAUCCGUGUCGUCUUCAUUGACAGGUAAUUCUGCACUGUCAAUUUCAUUCACUUCCGUCCAUCCGCCAACCUCAGCUUUCACUUCCUGCUCUGCAGGCUCAGGGGCAUCAUCCUCAUCCAUGAAUACAUCUUCUGCUUCAGGUUUAUGAGUAUCUAAAAGAAGAGGAAUCAACACAUAAUAUUAGCUAAGCCUCAACUCAAGAAAGAGACUAUCCAGAAUAGAAGAAACUCGGUGCCUAUUUAGCCUAGCUUCCUUCUGCUUUCAGCUAUGGUUCACCUGCAGUGAACUGUCUGGCAAACAGAAAAGUUUGCUGCUUUUAUUAGAAAAUUGUAGUUACAUUACCUUGAUUAAGUUGUAAACCCAUUAGAAAAUCCUCCAUCUCCGUUAUGACAACCUUAUUCUCCUGUGCUUCUUCUGUAGAACUGGCCUCUUCUUCUCUCUUCUUGGAUGUAGCUAAGAGCGCAACUGCUUGAGGACCAACAGGAAUUGAUUCAUCCUGCUUUCUUAGGGCAAGCCUUCUCGCCUGCUCGAGAGACCUUUGCAGAUCUUCAUAAUCUUCACCAAAGACAAGUUCCACAUCCUGUGGAACAGAUUGUACAGUUAUGGUUUGCUCCUGCUGCAAAACUUUCGAUGCCUCUUCUGCCUUUGCUAUAGCUGCUUGGUACGCGUUACUUCUCCUCUCAGCCUCAGCUCUCUCCUGCUCCUCCCUUGCCACUUGCCGUUUUAGAUCAUUACGGGAUCCGAGAUCUCCAGUGCCCAAUCCGGCGGCAAUGGCUUCUGCUUCUAAGGCAUCCAAAUCCAACUUCUCUUUCUUCCUCAAGGAUUUCUUUUUCUUUGGCUUCUUAAAUUGAAGCAUUUCUUCGGCAGUGUAAUAAUCUGAAGAUGUCUUUCCUGCUGCGCUGAGAUCUUCAUAGGCUUUUUGGGUGGAACCGCCUGCAAUCCUCCUGCGAAGCUGCCAGUGUAAAAGUAGCUGAUCAGAAAUAACAUCCAAAACAUUCCAUGUCUCUUUCUCAUGCAAAAUAUUCUCAAAAAUUUACAGAAAAAUAUGCAUGUAACAGAAAAUGUUGACCUAAACAUGAUUAUAAUCACAUCGAGAUACACUCAAUACAUGAUUAUCAAAACUGGCUAUUGGCCAAGAGGCUAGCUAUGAAUACAAAAGAACAAAUAGCAGAAAGUAGCAAUAACAAAAAUAACACUAACAACAAACAACGAUGACAACAACAACAACAACGACGAUGACAACAACAAUAAUAAUGAUGACGACGACGAUGACAACAGAAUUUCAGCAAAAAAUAAAUAAAUAAAUAAAAUAAACAUGAUACAAGUCCAGUAAAUUUAUUUACAGUCAAAGAGGAAGGUGUGGAAGGGGGAAAAAAAACAAAGAGAACGAAGGUCCAAGAAGGAAAUGUCCAUGAAGUUGUCACUUGAGAAUCUAAAAGAUAAAGUAGGGGCACAUAUAACCUUAACAGCAACGGGAGACAAAGCGUACCUCUUCCAACUUCUUCUCUGCUUCAACUGAGAAGCCCCCACUUUCAUCCAAGGUAACACCCUUUUGAAAAAGAAAAACAUAAUCAGAAUAGGAGGAGAAAUCUUAAAAAAAGAAAUCAGUCAACUCUGCGGGAUAUAGUCACCUCAUCUUCAAUCUGAUCAUCAUAUUGUGGAAGUAUUGGUCUCCGUGACCCCAUUUCGUCACUAAAUCUACAAGUUUCAAAUGGGAAAUGAACAUUUACUAUAUGAAGCCAUUCACAGAAAAAAUAACUUUUUGCUAUCAAAAAGAAAAGGAUAAGAAAUAAUUUUUCAAGUACAAAACCUACUUAUCAUCAUAUACUCCGGUCUUUUUCUUUGCUGCCCUGUAUGCAUCAUCUCUCUGUUUUUGCUCCACGAUCUCCACAUUUUCAAGCACAUCAGACUCUGGUAUAUUCAUUCAGUAUCAAAUUAGCCUGAAAGAUUAGAAGUAAAUUGGUAAGCUAUUUUUACUACAAUUAUCGAGUACCUUCAUUAAUGUCACCACCAGCAAGAAUAUUUUGAUCUUUCAGCACCAAGGUAACAGCUCCCUCAGCUGCUUUUUCAAACCCAUGACUAAUUUUUACUCCGGCUAGGUGGCCUGAAAGCAGGAACAGCAGAACACUAAUUGUUAGAAAUAUUGCCCAACAAAUUAAAAAAAUAUAUUACGAAGUAAAAAUAAGCAGAAGAACCACCCAUCUUCAAAUAAGCAUAUUAAAAUUAGUUAGGAAAUUGGUCCCUGUAGCUUGACUCGAAUUUCAAUUUCGCCUCGUAGUAUCAAUUCUAACAAUAUAGCCCCUGAAGUUUGUUCUGUGUAACAAUUAAGUCCCACCUUCAGUCAACCAUCUGGAAAAGUGCCACGUGAGCGCCAUUAAUAGACUUUCCGUUGUUAAAAUUGAAUUACUAAGAACGAAUUGGACCUGAGUUCAAACAUCAAGGACCAAAUUGAAAUCAUGACCAAACUUCAAGGGUAAGUUUGAAGCUCGAAACUCUCAGAAUGAAUUUGAAAUGAAAACAAACUUUUGGGAUAAAAUUACAACUAAGACUCUGUUGACCAAAAUUGUAACCCAGGUCAAACUUAGGGGACUAAAUAUGUCACUGACCCUGUAAACUAAUAUUCAAGAAUCAAGUACAAGAUCGUGUACCUCUAUCAAGUUCAUCUGCUUCAUCAUCUCCACUUCCUGCUAGGAUGUUAUCCUGAGAAUUUCAUAUACGCAGUAAGAACCAUUACAUCACAAUAGUUGAUUCCUAGAGAAAAGCGGAAAAUAUUAAACCACUCACCUGCUCCUCCAAAGCUUUUGCGAGAUGUAAUGCUUUCUCCUUCUCAGCGUUUCGCUUCUCCUCAAGCUUCCGACUCCUAGUGACCCAAGCUAAGAUCUCAGAAGUACUAUCAGAUGUCACCUUCAUUCUUUCUUCUCUAAUCCUGACAGGACAAAACUGAUCUUAAAAACAAUGACACGCCAAAUAUUUAACAAGCAUGAUAUGAUCCUUUUCAACCAAGAGAAGUAAAAAAAAAAAAAAAAAAAAAAAUACAAAGCAAGAGGUACGGUGUUAUAAUGGUAUCUCCCGUGACGAGUACAGUUAGCUUAACCUGCAAAGUUCCAUAUGACGAAACACAGAAGCUUCAAGAACAGAUGCAUAGCUUAUCAUAGUUUGUCAUUGUCAACUCUCAUUUGCAGCAAAUAGUUAGUCACAUAGAUCACUAGCAAUGAAAUGCAAAAGUAAUUUACUGAUAGCAAGAGAUUUGGACAUUAAAUUAGUUCAAAAAGGAAUUCAAAGGGCUACAUAAGUGGCUAUCAAGGGAAAUAAAAAAAAAGGGGUCUUACUUCGUAAGACGCUCUCCAAGAUCGGUGCUUGGCACCUUGGGAGCGGUCGCUUCAUGAAGGUUAUCCUUCUCUCGAUCUUCGUCCUUCCUCUCCCUAGACUUCUCCUUGGCAUUGUCCCUCUCUAUCUUAUCCCUCUCCUUCUCUCGAUUCUUACUUCUCUCCUUCUCCCUAUCCCUCUCUUUAUCUUUUAACCUAUCUUGAUCCUUUUCCCUCUCCCUCUCCCUCUCCCUCUCCCUCUCCCUUUCCCUACCCUUCUCGCGAUCUCGCUCUCGCGCUCUCUCAUCCCUCUCACUCUCAUGAUGCUUACUUCUUUCCCGGCCGCCCUUAUCCUUCUCCCUGCCGUGAUCGCGCUGCUCUCUUUCUCUCUCGCCUUCUCUAUCCUUCUCCCUCUCCUUCACCCUAUCCCUAGACUCUCUCUCCUUCUCCCUAUGCUUACUAUCCCUCUCGUAAUCCUUCUCCCUCGCCUUCUCCCGACCACUCUUCUCCUUCUCCCGAUCCCUCUCCUCCUUCCUUCGGUCCCUACCACUAUCCCUUCUAUCAUAUCGAUCCGAAUCCCUGUGCUCCUCUUUCUCCCUCUCCCUCGACCGAUCCCUGUGCUUGCUUCUAUGCUUCCCCGGCUCCUUAUGCCUCUCCCUAUCCCUGUCACCGUCCAUGCCGUCCACCUCCUCGUCCCUAACCCCUCUCCCCGAAACCCUAGCGUCCUCCCCCAUCUCCGCAUCCGCUACACCCAUCGAAUUGCCGAAGAGGGUGGAGUAAUAGACUAAUAGCUCCCAAAAAUCCGGUUGUUAUGCUGCGAAGGAGCAAAGCGACGCGGUUACAGCUGAGAUUUGAGAUAAAAACAAGGAAUCGAGGAGAGAGAGGGAGCGGAUUCGAGGAUCAGAGAGAGCUUACCUGAUGAAUCGGAACACACGAUUAGGGCAACAAAACAGAUGAUCGAGAGAACGAGAUCGAGAGAGGAGGGAAAGAGGGAAGGGAAAGAGGGAUUAGAGCGGGGUAUAUAAUGCACGCGAGGGUCGGCUUAUAGUGGGCUUCUAUUUCGGCCCAUCCAAACCCAUAAAUCAAGCUAAUUUGGGCCGAACCAAAUAAAGAGAAAUUAACUGGCCCGGCCUAUACAAAUAUUUAACGGGUCCCAAUUUUGGCCCUUGAGUCUCGUAUAUUGAGACUUGGACCCGAUCCGCAAAAGGUGGGAAGUGGCCACGUGGGCAGUGGGCCGGUUGGAUUUGGGUUGUGGUGAAAUUUUCAGCAGACCCCCUCAGCUAUUAGAGACUUUGAAAUGGAGUCUUCAACUUUUUUUUGUCACACAUACGCUGGCUUUUAAAUAUUUAGUUAAAUUUGAAUUAUUUUUAAAAAUUAAAAUGGAAAUUAGUUAUUAAAUACUGAAGGAUUUCACAAUUUUGUUAUUUGAAAAGUGGAUACAGCUGCUAAAUUUUAUGAAACAGGUGUUAAAUCAAAUGAUAUCUCGAAUUGAAUUGAUUGAGAAAAGAAAUCAGAAAAAGUUAAUAAAGCAAAAAAUCAAAAAAAAAGAAAAAAAAAAAAAACCUUUCAACUACAUAUUGCCCUAAUCUUAAACAUUUAAAAAAAAAAAAACUUUUUUAUGUGACCAACUUUGGAAAAGAAAAUGACUAUAGAUUUUGGAACACUUUUUUCUUUUUCUCCCUUCAAUCAGGAACCAAUCUACAAUUCCAUAAGUCAAACGCAAUUCAUGUAUGUUUCCAUAGACAUGCAUUUACAAAUUUAAUUUGAUGGGUAGCUACAAAUUAUACAUAGCAAACCUUUAAUAAUAAACCAUUUUGCAAUCUCGCUACAUCGAUGCCGAAAAGGUGUUGAACAUAUUGGUUAGUCCAUGCUCAACCAAGUAGCUCUCUAAGUGUCCUUGAGCCAAAUUUGAAUUUGGAUUAGAAUUCGAAUUCGAAUUUGAAUUUGAAUUUGAAGCGCCCUGAAACCUAGUCAAAUGGUUCAUGGCACCCUUCAUUGCAUUCGUAUCGCGAGAUAAAAUGUCCAAAAUGCCUCCCAUGUUCGCCCUCCUGGAGAGGAGAGGAGAGUUGGAGAAGCAGGGCACUUGCUCAUGCCCCUCGAAGCUUGGCGCGGCCCGGUCGAAGGCGGUAAAGGUGUCGACAAGGGGCGGGAGCGGAGGCGGGUCCGAGCUCGAGUCUACGUUGUGCCAGGUUUGAGUCACUGGCAUGGAGGUGAGUCCUCUUGAUUUGUUGAGUACUCUACAUAAGACCCAGUCUCCCUGUUUACAAAGAUAAUAAUAAUAAUAAUAAUAAUUAGAAAUCCAUUGAGUAAUUAGCACAUGGAUUAUUAAAAUAUUUCUAACUAUAUAAGAUAUUACAUUUUAUAGUCAAAAGGUUAGGUAUUAGGAGACUAAUUCAAUGAGGUGGAGGAAGUAGCAUAUUCAAGUAAGUUGACAAAACUGUUAUACCAAUUCAAAAUUCAGCUGCAAUUUGAAUUUAAAAUUUAUUUAGAGGACAAAUUUAGAUACUGAAAUUUCCAUAUUUCGUACUGUGAUGGAUGAAGAAGAUGUCGAUAUCGCGCGGUGUAUGAUGGAUGGUGAUGAGACGGAGAAAACAACAACAAUAAAAGUAAAUUAGAGAUUUGAACAUAGUAUUUUGGUCGUAUAAAAUGAUUGACUUUGUUUGUUUUUCGCAAAUUUUGAAAGGAACCAAGCAUGCGAUAUCUGAAUUAUUUAAAGAGUCGAUAUUCGACACGAAAACGACACUUUAAUAGAGAAGAGUUCAACUUGAAAAUAAAGAAAUUGAACUAAAAAUUCUCCUUGUACAAAGAAUUUUUUUUUUAAAAAAAAAAAUCACUUAUGAAGUGUAGCUAUACCAUUUAGGCUUCUGAUUCAUACCAAAAUUCACAUGAGCUCGAUUGGUUCCAAAACCGCAUGCUUUUUAAGUACCUUAAUUAGUUUAAUUAUGAGUAAGAUUUUAGUACUUGGUUUAGCAAUUAUUUCUUUAUCUUUCUUUUCUACGUAGUUGGUGGAGAUAAUUAAAUGCUUGUGAAUAUUAUGUAGAUCUGAUGAGCACAACUUUUGCAUUUUUAUUGCCUCAUGAUUGUGGUGACAAGAAACUAUUGGUCGACGAAUCUAAACAAUUAAUUAAGCAGGGGAGAAAAGUCCAAAUUAACCUGCAGCUAGAUGUAUUUGAAAUAAUAAACACUAAAAAUCUACUAGGACUAAACCAUUUUUAAAUUCAAACCAGCACCAUGCAUCAAACUAAAAGAUAUAAAUAUCGAUAUAUCCCAAAUAAUAAGGCAUUUUGGGUGCCGUGUGGGUGUUAAUGGAUUUGAGUCCCUGGCAGGGAAACUCUCUGGAUAGGGUUGUAGGAGCCAAGUUCCUAAUUCUCGAAAUAUACUAUUAAUUAUACUAAGUUAUUGGUGCUAGCUAUUAAGUUUUCGGCUCUUAGAUGAAAGGAUAUGAAUGUGGUUAGAAUGAUAAUAGUUUUCUAGGUUGAGUAGGUGGUUAGUUAAAUAGUAUGAUCUAACAGAUAAAAAAGGAUCAAAGAGAAAAAUUUAACUGUAGAAAAUUUGAUAGAACCAAGCGUUAGUAUAGUAGCCAAAUUAUAUAUAUAUAUAUAUAUAUAUAGAGUAGGGCUACUGUGCUAUUAAGAGCACAGCAGGCCGUGUGCUCCUAACUUUCUAACCACCCAUCAAGUUUGAUGGGUGGUUAGAAUAAAAAGGGGAAGAGAUGUUGGAGAGAAAUUGUGUGUCUCAAUUUUUCUUCUUCUUGAAUUUCUCUUCAAUAUCUCUUUUCUCUUUUAUUCUAACCACCCAACAUGUUUCUUAAAAAAAAAAUUUUUUUUUUUAGUGAAUACUUCACAUCGAUAUGGUAAAUCCGAAGACUAAGUAUGGUUUUAAGUGUACUCGAGCUAACCAAGGUUUUGGCGUACGAAAAAUUCAUGGAAUUAAUCAAAUUAAUACUCAUUCUAAAAUCAUGAACCAAAUCGUUAAUAAAGAAAUAGAAAGAAAAGAUGCAUCAACCACCUCUAUUAAUUUACGAACACUUAUAAUACAUCUAGACUACUCGUGUUGAAAACGUAAAAAUAACGGAGUACUAACACCACUGUUCUUUGAUAACCAGCUGCUUAGAUUUGUUAAUUAAUUCGUCCCCUCUUUUCAGGUUUAAUUGGACGUCGAUCUACAUAAACUUUAUUAUUUGUGAUUUUUAGAUGAUCCUGAUUUGGUAAAAAUUUAAGUUUGGUCGUGGUACGUAGUUUGAUUUUCUAUAUUUAUAGCUAUAUAGGGUUUAUUAUUCCGUAAAACCCACGGCACACCCACAAUUACCUAAACUCAGGGACCGUCCCUUUGAGAGACCUAUCCCAACAUCCUCGGUUCAAGGAUUAAGAGCUUUAUAUGAUAAUUAAUAUGAUUCAAUAACCACGAUCGAUAAUUCAAAAGCCGAGAAUCUACUUUCCUAUACUUACACCAAUCUUACUAUUAUCAAAAGAUCCAACUCAUCCACCAAUCAAUUUAUCAUACUAGAUUGUCUAUUUUUUCCUAGUUUCUCUUUUUAAAUUGACAUCUUUUAAACGUAUCUUGGUUACUUUUGCAAGUAUAUAUAUAUCUGUAUAUAUAUAUAUAUAUAUAUAUAUAUAUAUCUCAUCCCGAUGACACGAUAAUUCUCGUGUCGUCCGGCACACGAGGAUUGAAAGAUUGGUGGGUAGUUCAAACUANUAUAUAUAUAUAUGAAAGUUUUCAUUAGUUUAUGCAUGUUAAUUAAAGCCACCAAAUAAGUAGCCCAUGAAUUUUGUCCCACGCAAUGCAAUCAAAUAUGAUAUAGGAGCACGCAUGCAAACAAAAUGCCAAAACUGAAUUAGGAUUUUGGAUAUAUAUAUAUAUAUAAAUAUGGAGGAGAUCGAUCGAUCGAUCGAUCGAUCGAUAGACAUAUAUAUAUAUAUAUAUAGAGAGAGAGAGAGAGAGAGAGAGAGAUGAAAACAAGUAGGUAGGUAGGUACCUUAACAAAAGGAAACUUUGGGGGAUGAUGAUGAUGAGGUGCUACUUCCAUGCGGAACUCGUGCAUGACCCAGUCAGUCUUCCUGCCCUUGGGGGCUCUUCCCUGAUAGAAGACGAGCGUCUUACGCAUCCCCACGACGACUCCCCGUCGGCUGACCGACCGGUCUUUCCCCGUCGCCUUCCAGUAUCCCGACUGGGUCGCCCUGUUCGUCCGCUGGCCCGUCGCGUACUUUCGGUCCCGCAGGCUGAAGAAGUACCACUCCUUGCCGCCCCCCACGCAUGCCACUUCUGCACCAUGCAUAUAUAUGCACCAUAUAUAUAUAUAUGCACAACAAAAUUAAGGAAAAACAAUUAUUAUUAUAUAUAAGAGUUCAUUAAUUUGCAUGGCUUGCAUGGCAUGCAUGCAUGCAGUUCGAGAUCAUAAAUCUAAAUAUUCCAUAUCCUGUACUUUUGAGAUUAUUAAUUAGUUACUCUAGAAUCCUUAAUUAUUGAAUAUAUUAUACUAAUUAAUUUAUAAUUCGUUCUUUAUUAGUUUAAGUUUUUGAAGAAUAAUUAUACUUGUUUUACACAAUUUAAUAUGGUACGAGAGUAGUAGCUUCUGAAUUCGAAUCUCACCACGCAUGCAUGCUUCUAGCCUGAUUUAAUCCCCUUCUAUUUAAUUUAAAUUCAUAUAUAUCUUGAACCUAUCAAUCAAAAUGUGUCAAUUUUUUUUUUUUUUUUUUUUUGUUUGCCGUCUCUCUUAUGUUUUUUCUGGAAGAAACUCCUCUUAAAGUAAUUAGGAAUAGGUUUAAGUGCCCCAUAACAAAAACAAAGUCCUAAUUAAACUUUGGAAAGAAAGGGAAAGAAAUCAAUUUCCUAUUACAGCAAUAAUUAAGUAUUUUCCCUCCCUCCUAAUAUCGAAUUUUUCUGUAAGCCUUCCAUAACACAAAUUUCCAUUUAUAGGUAAAGGAUGAGGAUAAUAGCCAUUUUUAGGAGUGGAAGACAAACCGAGUUAGUAAUAACAUCAUAUUGGGGAGAACCCUAUCACUGACUUUUNUAUUAAGAUCAUUUAACUCCUUUAUAUAUAUAUAUAUAUAUAUGUAUAUAUAUAUAUAUGUAUAUGUAUAUAUAUAUAUAUGUAUAUUGAGCUCCUAUGCUUUUAAAAGUAUCAAGACAUUGGUGCUUGUAGAUUUUUAGCCAUUGGAUUAAGAGAUAUGCGGUUAGGAUGAUAUGGACCCCAUAGCUGGACUCUCUCUCUCUCUCUCUCUCUCUAUAUAUAUAUAUAUAAACUAGACUAUAAUACUAUUAAUAGCACCAAGUCAUUGUUUAUAUUAGGUUUUCGACCCUUGGAUGAAGUGAUGUGCGGUUAGAAUGGUAGUGGUCCUCUAGUAUUGAGUGGAUGACUGGUUGAAUAAUAUGAUUUAACGAGUGAAAAUAAUCAAAAGGGUAGCACAAAGUGUUUGAUGCUAUAUAUUUUAAAUUUAAAUUAUUGUUGGUGGUAUGUGUUUAUUUAUUGCUUGAUUUUUUAACUUUAAUUUAUUUCCAAAUAAAUUUUAUAUGUUUUUAAUUUAGUUAUACUGAAAAUAUUUUUCAUAUGUAUUUCAUAACAUACAAAUUUCUUUAAAUUUGAACCCAAUUUAAAAUUUGAAUUAAUUUAAAAUUUUAAAUUAAUAAAUUUAGAUUUAAAUUUAUGUAUAAAAUUCAAAAUUUGAAGUUUAUUCUAAAUCCAUAAUUUGAAUAUUAAUAGCUAUUGCAGAUAUAGAUCUAUUUAUCAAUCAAUCUAUCUUUUAAAUUAUUUUCGUUGUAAUAUGUUGAUAGUCCCAAAAUUUAAAAUUUUAAAUUAAUUUUAAAUUUUGAAUUGAAAUAUAGAUUUACAGCAGAUAUUCUGACAAAAAUUUGAAUAACCAUAAAUUUUUUUUGUUUUAGAGAUAAAAAAAUUAAAUAAAUUUUGAAUUAAAAUAUAGAUUUACAGUAGAUAUCUUUCAGUUGGCAAAAAAUUAGAUAAGUAUUUUUUUUUCUAUUUUAGAGAUAAAUAUAAAUAAAAAGUCUUUUUAUUACGUAAUUUAUUUUACAUAAGGAAAGAAGAACCAAAAAUUUUUUCUGCCAAAAAAAAUGAGUUUGUCGACAAACCGAAAUUUGAAAUACGUACUUUUAUAUAUAGUAUAUAUAUAUAGAGAGAGAGAGAGAGAGUCCGGCUAUAGUGCUUCUAAAAGCACCAAACACUUGGUGCUUGUAACUUUUCCACCGUUACAUUUAUCUCUUUAAUUAUUUUCAUCUGUUAGUUUAUAUUAUUCAACUAACUACCCACUCAACCCUAGGAGACCACUAUUAUUCUAACCGCACACCUCGUAAUCCAAGAGCUACAAACCCACAAGCACUAAUGACUAUGUACUUUUAAAAGUAUAGGAGCUCAAUUAUAUAUAUAUAUAGAGAGAGAGAGAGAGAAAGAGAGAGAGUAAAUUGGGCCGGAAUACUAUUAAUAGUAUUUGCCUCCUUUUGCUAUCAAAUUUUUAACUUUUGAAUGAGAAAUUAUAGAAUUAGGAUGAUAUUAGUCUCUUAGGGUUGAAUGGUUCUCACUAGGUUAUAAUAUUUAAAUCAAUAAUUAAAAAUAAUUAAAGGAAUUGAUCCAAAGGGUAAAAACUUGAUAGUAAAAAAAGGCAAAUAUUAUUAAUAGUAUUUUAGCCCAACUCUCUUUAUAUAUAUAUAUAUAUAUAUAUAUAUAAUUUUACAUUAUAAAAUUAAAAUUAGUUUGGAAAUGG